This 305-nucleotide ribosomal RNA is filed under the name uncultured bacterium. RNAcentral describes it as "bacterial SSU rRNA". It matches the Rfam family "Bacterial small subunit ribosomal RNA", at positions 335 to 638 of the family's 1533-position model. The record is from RNAcentral.
GAUCCUACGGGGGGCCGCAGUGUGGCUUAUUGGGUUUUUGGCGCGAGCCUGAACCAGCCAAGUCGCGUGAGGGAAGACGGUCCUAUGGAUUGUAAACCUCUUUUGUCGGGGAGCAAAAGACGCCACGUGUGGCGUUCCGAGAGUACCCGAAGAAAAAGCAUCGGCUAACUCCGUGCCAGCAGCCGCGGUAAUACGGAGGAUGCGAGCGUUAUCCGGUUUUAUUGGGUUUAAAGGGUGCGCAGGCGGAAGAUCAAGUCAGCGGUAAAAUUGAGAGGCUCAACCUCUUCGAGCCGUUGAAACUGGUU